GGCGGCUUGAGGCUGUCAGUGAUGGGCAGGCUGUUCCCUUAGGGGGAGGGGGGGCGCCCAACAGCAGGGACACAACGACGGCAGCUGGGCCUAGCAGCCAGGGGGCGGCCGGCGGGCCCACUCACAUGGGGCAACAGAGGCAGGCCAGGUCUGCAGGGGAGGGGGACUCUGGAUGCCAGGGACAGCGCUGGGAAUCCCCUGCGUAAAGGACGG
Pelobates cultripes (western spadefoot toad) is the source of this 213-nucleotide non-coding RNA. Lineage: Eukaryota; Metazoa; Chordata; Amphibia; Anura; Pelobatidae. The record is from the annotation of a GenBank genome assembly.